CAGAGUCUCCGAACUCCAAACCUUUGUGAACAUACCACCGUUGCUUCGGCGGGACCCCCCCGGGACGGGCACUGCACGCCCCGGGCGCCCGCCGAGGGCCCCAAACCAUCUUAUCCACAGUGGACUCUUCAGAGUUUGAUAUACAAUCAAUCA
Molecule: unclassified non-coding RNA, 153 nt
Filed under: uncultured Hypocreales
Lineage: Eukaryota; Fungi; Ascomycota; Sordariomycetes; Hypocreales
Description: sequence contains ITS1
Source: RNAcentral